GAUAUCUGUAUCUUUGUCACUUGAGAGUUCAUGGGAAAUUUAGAGACCCAAGAGCCUGAAUUCCGGUAGUUCAGAAGUGCUCAUAAGCAAGGAAAGGAGAGUAAGAUGAUUUGGACACCAGGAAAAAUGAACACAGAGAGUGGCAGGAAAUGGAAAUAUUUUCUUCAAGUCAUAAGAAAUGGUGCCUGGCAAUGUCAAGAAGCAGCAAUUCCACUUAACUUCACGGUACUGCAAGCUACUGAAAAUGGUGUGGAACUGGUAUAAACUGGUAUAAUCUACUUGGUGCGAAGGCAAUAGUAUAUGCAACUUAAAUCAAGAAACCAAAUGCUCAGGGAAAUGCAACGUACAAAGAAGCAAUGGCAAAUAUAUAUGUGUUGUUCUACUUCAUCAAUUUUUCUUAGCUGCUAGAGCAUUUGAAAUUAUUCUGUUCACACUAAAUAUUCUUAAAAUUAUGUAAACUCUUUAA
Molecule: long non-coding RNA, 466 nt
Organism: Homo sapiens (human)
Lineage: Eukaryota; Metazoa; Chordata; Mammalia; Primates; Hominidae
Source: Ensembl